Long non-coding RNA from Spinacia oleracea (spinach), 3004 nucleotides. RefSeq lists it as uncharacterized. NCBI's taxonomy places the organism in Eukaryota, Viridiplantae, Streptophyta, Magnoliopsida, Caryophyllales, Amaranthaceae. The record is from RefSeq and is a predicted model, not a curated record. The transcript is spliced from 2 exons.
AUGUUAAGGCGACACCAUAGAUUUAUUGGAAAAAACUUUGGCUAAUUGGGUCUAGACUCCACAUCAUCUAUUAGUCUAUCACUUUUCGUUUUCAGUUUCAUAUCUUCUCAAACCCCCUUCUCACAAAAACCCCUCUCAGGCUCUCGCCUUCCUCCUCCCUCAUACUCUCACAAACGCUCUCUCUUCGAAAUAGAUGGCGGCAAGGCGUCUUUUCUCCAUGGCGUCCUACCACCUUCAACCCUUCUCUGUAUUGUCUUCAAGCUCCUUAUACCCCGCGAUGGCGACCAAAUUGCGGAGGUUAGGGUUCCGUAAAAAAUGUAGAAUAAAUAAUUAUUUUUCUUUAUAUUUAAUUUUAACUUUUUGUUUGAUAUAAAUUUAAGUCAAGAAUUCAUCUAAUUGUGAAUUGUUUUAAUUUAAUUUUGAUCUCGUUGAUGUUUUGCUGCUCGAAAAGUUGUGAUUUUGGUUAUUAUCACACGGAGUUGUUGGGGCUAUUAUUCAAAGGUCAGAGAACCACUGUAGUGAUGGAUCGACAUCAAAAUGUCAUUAGUCAGAGCAAAUAAAUACAGUAGCAUUAUCAGCCGAAUUUUCUAUACUUGUGUUUUUUAGUUAUGUUUUAAUUGAAAUGUCUGUUUCUUUGUUGUUAAUGAGUCGGAAUUUAUUUUUCUUUAUUGUUCGUUAACAUCAAUUAUGUUUUCUUGGUGAAAUGCUUGCAGCUAUUAUCCUCUUAUUGAUUUUGUAGUUGUUUACAACUCUCUGCUUGCCUUGAGAAAAAGAUUUGAAUUGUUAAUCUGAGUGAGAAAUGUGUGCUGCUGAAUUUGCCAACUACUAUGUAUUUUGGGUGGAAUGGGAAUAACAUGCUUGGUUGUCGACUGGGUAGUUGUAAUGAAAAUUUAUUGCAUGCUUAUUGUGCCUUACAAUCUCUUUGCUGGCCUUUAGCCAAAGAUGCACUAUACUGGAUUGUCAAGCUUUUUCACUUAUUGUAGACAAGGGCAAAUUUGAGUGUGGAUCUCUUCCAUUUUUAAUGGAUAAGAGGCAGUUUAAUGUUUUCUUGGUGUAUGCUUGUAGUUUUAAAGUUAAUGGAUAUAAAUAGUAAUCAAGCUUAGCAUUCGAUGCAUAUAAAUAUUUUCCUUGAUCAGACUUUGUAUGCCUUUAAUCAUUCCCUUCUUGGGUAUACAUAUGUUUGGUCUGAAUUCACUUUAGCACCAACCAUAUAAUCGUGAAUUUGGUAUUUGGAAUUACUUUUGAGUUUUGGGUUGGGAAUGUGAUUGAAUUUAGUGUGAACUCUGAAGUUAAAUAAAUUUGGAGCUAGUUGGGGUUGGAGGUAUGUAUUUAAUUUUUCUUCAGAUUUCAGUAAUGAGAAUUAAACUAUCAUGAUUGUGUAAAGUGCUAGUUUGAAUUAUAGAAGUUUUGUGAAUAAGGUCCUGCGUGUGACUAGUUUGUUUUCUAGAUGGCACUUUCGUUUGUGUUUUCUUGUUGCUUGCUGUAUGGGAUAGAGGAAAGUCUUCUUCUUGUAAGAGUAGCUUCUUAGUUGUACUUUGGUGUUGUUCGCUGGAAGUGGAAAUAACUUAUUUGCAAUUAUCAGGUUCAGCCAGAUUGAGUGUUGUUGUAAAAGUGAGGGCAUCUAGGUUAUCAGACCAGGCCUUGACUUCUCGUUAAUUGAUAUAUGUAGAUUUUUCUGUUUUUUUUCUUCUUCCUUUUAAUGUUUAGCAAGGAUUUGGGAUUACAAAUAUUACUCCAAAUUUUAGUUGAAGCAUGGAAUGACAUAUAUAUUACAGACAUGGUAUUAGACUGAAGCUUUCUUUUGUGGGAUAAGUAAUUGACAUGUCUUGGUAACUUGGUAACCUCUGUGUAACUUCUACCUUGGCAGCUCAUCUUUAAAUUGGCAAACAGACUUUCUCAGAAACAAUUACGGAGGCAUACAUCCUUUCAAGUUAAUAGAGAAGCCACAUACAUGAAAGAUAUUCCUAUCUAUUCUAGUAUGCUAAAGUACGUGUCCACUGUCAAGUUCUAUCAUCCCGGACUUUCCUUUUCUUGUUUAAGGGGGUUCUGUCUGAAUUGAGACACUUAUAUUAAAUGCAUCAGAAAGUAACAUACCCCCUUCCCCCUUAAUUUAACAAGAGCACUACAAGGAUCUCAAGGCCAAGUCAUCGUAUCAGAAUCUGAAUCGACUGCAUAACUUUGGGUCCUGUUGUGUGUAUGGUAUGAUUUAUUUAUUAACCUUUCUGAUCUCCGUAAAUGCAAUCUUGGAGUGAAUAUAAGUAGUGAUAUGAGGCGAUAUUUGAUGAAUACUAGGGUUGGGAGGGUGUUGGAGUUGUUGCUUCAUCACGUAAGCUAAUAGGAGCUACCGAUCCUCUUUAGGCUGAACUUGGAACUAUCAGAGGGGAUCUUGUUGUUCAAACGGGGAGGUUGAUCUCUUAGCCUUUCAACUAAAUUUCCAUGAUGUCUAAAGUUGUAAAAUCAUGUUGCGGUCUCAGAGAUUGUUAGCUAUGCAGUAUUCUGAAUUCUAUUUAAUACUUGCUGGAAUAUGGUUCAUGGAAGUGAUAGCCCUGAAAAUGGCAAGCGUGAAAUAGGUCUGUGCCUUUUCUAAUUUCUUAUCUGGAAUACAAUUACUUGCACGAAUGUCCAAGAAAUUACUGAACAUGGAAUGCAUACAUAUAUCUUGUGUGGAUAUUUGGAUAAGGUAAACAAAAAAUAUGAUCUCAAAACUUUGUUUAACUUUGACUAGAUAUGAUUAAUAAAGGGUAACUUAUACUUGUGGAAUUGGUUUAGGUUUUUGCAAAAGGAGAUCACGAUGUAUUCCAUUUUUCCCUUAAAAUUAAUGUUUUCCUUGUUUAUGAAGUAUAAAUCAUUGGAUUUUAGUUGUGAUUUCCCUUGAAAGAGGGGAAGCUUUUUCUUGGAUUUCAUGGUUGAUGGGUCGUUAGACAAUUUGCAUAUCAAAGGCUCCGUGGCUGUGUGAGUACUCUAUUUAAUAGUUACGACAAUCUAUUUUACAGUCUUGUUUCCA